RNAcentral lists this long non-coding RNA (655 nucleotides) under Cucumis sativus (cucumber). Its description in RNAcentral is "long non-coding RNA (CSAT_LNC001788)". The record is from RNAcentral. Lineage: Eukaryota; Viridiplantae; Streptophyta; Magnoliopsida; Cucurbitales; Cucurbitaceae.
UCGUUGUCGUGGAUGAACUUGGGAGGGCAACUUCUUCCUCUGAUGGAUUUGCAAUUGCAUGGAGCUGCUGUGAAUAUCUUUUGACACUGAAAGCGUGCAUAUAAUAUCCUUACCAACUAUUCUACUUGAUUGCCAAAGAUGCAAAUAAUAUUUUAGAUAAAGCGUGCAUGCAUACUGUUUUCAUCAUAGUAAUCAAUAAGGUUUAAAAUGCAUCAACCUAGUCAUAUCUCAACUGGUGAAGCAAUAUAUUAUCAACCUAAAGGUCGAGCUUCAAAUCUUCAGUGUCUAGUCCUUUUUUGUCCCAUGUAAAAUUCAUUGCUCAUCAUUUCUUAUUCUAGUUUAAUCACUAGUAUGUCCAUAGAUAUGGAAAAACUUUAUGCUUGUCAAAAUAAUAACAUGUAGGAUCCAUAAACUAAAUAUAUAUCAUUUAAUUAUGAUAAAUUUGAGAGUAGGUAUUACAAUAGUAGUAAAAUUUAUUCAGAUUUGGGUUCACAAGCGAACUUCAACAAAAUGUACUUACCGCUUCUUUGUCUGCCUCAGCUAUACCAUAUUUGCCACUCAUAUGGAGGGCCUAUCAGAGCUGGCAACCAUCUAUCCAAACGUAAAAAUUCUUCACUUCCAUGUGGAUAUAAGGAAUCACCGUUUGGAUUUCAAG